This 538-nucleotide ribosomal RNA is filed under the name uncultured bacterium. RNAcentral describes it as "bacterial SSU rRNA". It matches the Rfam family "Bacterial small subunit ribosomal RNA", at positions 355 to 896 of the family's 1533-position model. The record is from RNAcentral.
UGGGGAAUUUUGCGCAAUGGGCGAAAGCCUGACGCAGCGACGCCGCGUGGGGGAAGAAGGCCUUAGGGUUGUAAACUCCUUUAGUAUGGAAAGAAGCCUGGAGCAAUCCAGGUGACGGUACCAUAAAAAUAAGCCACGGCUAACUCUGUGCCAGCAGCCGCGGUAAGACAGAGGUGGCAAGCGUUGUUCGGAUUUACUGGGCUUAAAGGGCGUGUAGGCGUCCCGGUAAGUCAGAUGUGGAAGCCUUGGGCUCAACCCAAGAAUUGCAUUUGAAACUGUCGGGAUUGAGUCGUUCAUGGGAGGGCGGAAUUCCUGGUGUAGCGGUGAAAUGCGUAGAUAUCAGGAGGAAGGCCGGUGGCGAAGGUGGCCCUCUGGGAAAUGACUGACGCUGAGGCGCGAAAGCGUGGGUAGCAAACAGGAUUAGAUACCCUGGUAGUCCACGCCCUAAACGGUGCGUACUAGGUGUGGGUGGCGAUAGUCAUCCGUGCCGAAGGGAAACCAUUAAGUACGCCGCCUGGGGAGUACGGUCGCAAGAUUA